Long non-coding RNA from Humulus lupulus (European hop), 650 nucleotides. RefSeq lists it as uncharacterized. The transcript is spliced from 3 exons. The record is from RefSeq and is a predicted model, not a curated record. Lineage: Eukaryota; Viridiplantae; Streptophyta; Magnoliopsida; Rosales; Cannabaceae.
AUGAGUUUGUGAACUUUCCCAUUCCCAUUGGAAGAGUAGGGUGCGACCACUAGGGUAAAUAAAAUGAAAAGUUUGAGCUUGAUAGCUCAUUUGCAUUGUGGCUGCCGAAACCUAGAGGAAGAAGGAAGAAAGAGAGCUCGUAGAGGAGAGAAAUGAGAGGAAGGAAGAGGAAGAAAGGGAUUUAAAAAAUCCUAGGGUUUUGAAGUGCCAAAAGGUUGAUCAACUUUUUGGGUUUUUGAUUACUAUCAAAAGAGGCAAUAGGGUUUCUCCUUGGCACGCACAGUGAUGUGGGAAGUUCUGAUGUCUGGACAUGUAUGACGCGGGGUGUCUCAUGAGCGAUUGACGAUCUAGACGAACACCAAGAAAGUUUAUGAACUUUUAUGUUAUGACUUAUGUUUUUAUUAUGCUACAGUGGGGUUUUAUAUUUUAUUUUCAAGAUUGCAUAAAGACUAAAUUUUUAUUUUAAACUAUUGGGCUCAAAUUGCAUGUUUUGAGAAGGCCCCAUUGAACCUUUUUCUAAGAUGGUAAUUUUUUUUCUAAUAAAUAUGAACUGAGCGAAGUUUUACAAAGUAAAUAGAAUAGGACGUUCUUACAAAUAGUAUCAGAGAUGGUCGUUCAUGUUUCCAAGGACCCUCCACAUACAUGCUAAA